This 30-nucleotide small RNA is filed under the name Bombyx mori (domestic silkworm). Its description in RNAcentral is "ovarian small RNA-16257". Lineage: Eukaryota; Metazoa; Arthropoda; Insecta; Lepidoptera; Bombycidae. The record is from RNAcentral.
GCAAGGCCCCGAAGGGACUGGCUCCCGAGG